Molecule: long non-coding RNA, 2309 nt
Organism: Pipistrellus kuhlii (Kuhl's pipistrelle)
Lineage: Eukaryota; Metazoa; Chordata; Mammalia; Chiroptera; Vespertilionidae
Exons: 2
Source: RefSeq, a predicted model, not a curated record
GAGAAAAGAAACAUAAAAAAGUUGUAGGGUUUCUUCAGGAAUAUCCCCUCAGUUGAGUCUGAGCAGUGAGUGUGAGCUAAAUUUGGGGUCAACAAACUUUCUCUGUGAAAUGCUAGAUGCUAAAUAUUUUGGACUUUGCAGGCCAAAUGGUUUACGUCAUAACUACUUAACUUAUAAUAGCAGCCAUAGAAAAUAGAUACAAGUGUGGAUUAGUUCCAAUAAAACUUCAUUUAUAAAAAUGUGUUAGGUUAGAUUAGGCAGGAGAAUCAUAAUAGUUGGCCCUUGAAAUGAAGGAAACCAAUGAGCUGUGAUGUGAAAUGUUGUCUGUUAUUCCUGGCUACCCUACAAACAUAAAUAAAACUUAUUGACUUUUCUAAUAUUGGAACGAAUAUCUUAAAUUGGAGAGCCCACCUACAGGGGCCUUCUUGCUCUGAGCGCCUCAUGCAGCCAUUUCUAACCCCUGAGGCUGAGAAGACUCACCGAGGAUGGGGAGAGCUCUGCCUCAGGCCUCAGGAGGUGCACGCUUUGGUCCACGGCACGGACGGCACAGAGCGACCGAGGAGAAGCUGUGACUCGCAGGUGGGCGGGCGAGGCUGGAAGACUCAGUUCUGGGCUGAAGCUCAAAUCUACCUGCGAGAUAUGAAGGAACAGUCAUCCCGCACUUCUGUUUGUGUCCUCCUGCGGAGACCUCAUCCCUGGGCCACCCUGACAUUCAGCUUUAAUGACCGUGCUCGGAGCAUCAGUCAGGAAGGAGCCUCUCUUCUCAUCUCGCCUUUGCUGUUGAAAGGCUGUGUUGCUUUAAGGACACAACGGAGGGUCAUCAGGGACAGAUGCCUUGCUUGAAUGUUAGAGGCACAUUAUUGCCUCUGAUUCAUAAUCAAGUGUUUCUAUUUGUUCUUCAAGGUUUUGAAGCUUUGGAGUCACAGCAUCUUAUUUCCCUCACUCAAUUGGAUCCAUGCAAUUGGGCGCCAAGGAUACAAAGCUAAAUUAUAUUUUAUGUGCAAGCAAUUUUGUGGAAUUGGGAAAUUAUUGUGCUGGCUGCCUGGAAACUUUGGGCAACUCAUUUUACUUUUCUGGAUUCAUUCCUCCCCCCUCCCCUUCUGAGGUAAAGUAUGAUACCAUUUAUUUGUGUUGUAUGAUUUUUUUGCUAAAGACACUCACCUUGUUGGCCAGACAGUUUUCAAUCUCAAAACUCUGUGAAUCUCCAAUAACUUCUCCAUUUGGGAAAAUGGUAAAGAUGAACAUUCGUGCAGUGGGAGCAAUGUCUGACUUCACAGGGAGGGCUAAGGAAAAACUGCCUCUCACUGGGGCACAGAGAGAGUGAGACAAAAUGGUCACAGGUCAGCAUGCUUUCCUAGGUCGUAUCCAACUGAGAACCGUGCCCAUGCAUUCACUGGCUUAACCUCCUUAGGCCAUUCUAGUGAAGGGAUAAACAUUAAUAGGCUAAUGUCUCCCUUCACAACUUCCAUUGUAGAAUAAGUUCCAGCUCCUUACGUUCACCCUUAUCUCUCCCUGAUUUAUGCCUAAAUGAACUUAAAUCUGAAUAGCUAAAAAAGUAGUCUGCUGAUAUAUACAUGUAUUUAAUUAAAGCCUGAUGGACUCAUUUAAAAAUUAAGAAUAAGACAUAUAUUUUGUGAUGAAUAGCAACCAUUUCUUUUUGGUUUCAGACAAGAGAUGAUUUUUCCAUUUAAAGAUAGAGCUGUAACUUGUAAGAUAAAAUCAUAAAGUUUAUUUUUUUUCAAAUAUAUGCCUUUUUGUUGUUGUUGUGAUGAGAAGACAACAAACAACAUGUACCAUUUUAACCAUUUUUUUAAAGAAUGCUUUAGUGGUGCUAAGUAUACUCACAUUGCUAUGAAACAGAUCUCCAGGUCUUUUUUCAUCUUGCAAAUCUGAAACUCUAUACCUAUUUAACAACUCACCAAUUUCCCCUUUCCCAACUUCUUGGGGACCAGAAAGGCAAGACUAUGGCAGUCGUGUAUUUGUAUCGUGGGAGAGGUCAAGUUUCAGCUUAUAAUUCUAAAAAAGAGUGAGCUCCCUUCUAAAAGGAGGGAAAUGUCAACCCUUGUAUUUGUUGUGUUGAGCUAACCAUACAUGGAAAGAAUAGAUUGAAAUAUUAUAAAAUGGAAAGAGAAGUUAUGGUACACUUUUUUUUGGCAGGGGAAGUUUUGGAGGGAAAGUAACCUCUUAGUAAUGUUCUGGCAGAGGAAGCUUUGGAAAGAAAAUAAACUCUCAAUAAUGUUUUGGCAGAGAAAGAAAGCUCUGGGCGGAAAGUGACCGAUUAGUAAUGAAAAUUGUGAAGGCUUUGUUAU